RNAcentral lists this ribosomal RNA (402 nucleotides) under uncultured bacterium. Its description in RNAcentral is "bacterial SSU rRNA". It matches the Rfam family "Bacterial small subunit ribosomal RNA", at positions 356 to 773 of the family's 1533-position model. The record is from RNAcentral.
GGGGAAUAUUGGGCAAUGGGGGAAACCCUGACCCAGCAACGCCGCGUGAGGGAAGAAGGUUUUCGGAUUGUAAACCUCUGUUCUUGGAGAAGAGAAGAAGACGGUAUCCAAGGAGGAAGCCCCGGCUAACUACGUGCCAGCAGCCGCGGUAAUACGUAGGGGGCGAGCGUUGUCCGGAAUAAUUGGGCGUAAAGGGCGCGUAGGCGGCUUUACAAGUCAGUAGUGGAAGUCCCAUUUUCAAGGUGGGGAGGGCUAUUGAAACUGUAGGGCUUGAGUGCAGGAGAGGUUAUCGGAAUUCCCGGUGUAGCGGUGAAAUGCGUAGAGAUCGGGAGGAACACCAGUGGCGAAGGCGGGUAACUGGACUGCAACUGACGCUGAGGCGCGAAAGUGUGGGGAGCAAAC